GGCCCUUUUNUGGNAUGGGCGCACGUUUGGUAAAUNCANNCNACACACCACCNNUGCNCUUUUNCAUGGGAGNGACAGNACGAGGAGNUNACUGCCUUCCCUCGGUNUCUCNAUGGUAUUAUAACCACAAACAUCAGUAUUAGAAUGUACUCUUGNGAUAAUCGCAUUGAAAUACAACUUUCAGCAACGGAUCUCUUGGCUCUCGCAUCGAUGAAGAACGCAGCGAAAUGCGAUAAGUAAUGUGAAUUGCAGAAUUCAGUGAAUCAUCGAAUCUUUGAACGCNCCUUGCGCUCCUUGGUAUUCCGAGGAGCAUGCCUGUUUGAGUGUCAUGUAUCUCUCAAUCUUCUCAGUUUUUCUGAGAGNGAUUGGAAUUGGGAAGCUGCCGUUGUAAAAUGGCUCUUCUCAAAAGCAUUAGUGUGAAUGUUACCGAAUGUUCUCCAGUGUAAUAAUCAUUUGCGCUGCAAGAGCUUCAGUAGAAUUAAGUUCAUGCUUCCAACCGUCUGUCUCAGACAAUACACUUUGCGUUUGACCUCAAAUCAGGUAGGAUUACCCGCUGAACUUAAGCA
This 566-nucleotide ribosomal RNA is filed under the name Hyphoderma setigerum. Its description in RNAcentral is "eukaryotic LSU rRNA". The stretch from base 176 to 329 matches the Rfam family "5.8S ribosomal RNA". The record is from RNAcentral. Lineage: Eukaryota; Fungi; Basidiomycota; Agaricomycetes; Polyporales; Hyphodermataceae.